RNAcentral lists this transfer-messenger RNA (268 nucleotides) under Desulfobacterales bacterium S3730MH5. Its description in RNAcentral is "partial transfer-messenger RNA". It matches the Rfam family "transfer-messenger RNA", at positions 1 to 284 of the family's 374-position model. Rfam says of the family: Bacterial tmRNA, also known as 10Sa RNA or SsrA, is named for its dual tRNA and mRNA-like properties. Its role is to liberate the mRNA from a stalled ribosome. Lineage: Bacteria; Pseudomonadati; Thermodesulfobacteriota; Desulfobacteria; Desulfobacterales. The record is from RNAcentral.
GGGGGCGAAACGGCUUCGACGGGGGUAUAGAAGUAUAGGUUGCAUACCGAGCGCCUGCCAGCUCGUAAAAACGGUGGGACCUAAAAUAAUCGCAGACGAUUAUAAUUACGCCUUAGCCGCUUAAAGCAGGCUAACGUCCUUCCGGGUUUUUCCUGCGAGUCCGGAAAGGGCGUCGACUAGCAGGAUAGCCUCUAUUGGUUGCUUGUUACGAAUGAGGUGAAAUUCAUAACAAGAUAGCCCUUUAAGCAUCCUGCCUGAAGGAGCCUUA